GAUCUCCCUUAGAGAUAGGGUGAGAAGUGCAGACAUCUGGGAGAGGCUCCACAUGAAGAAAAGCCAAAGGAGGUGGUUCAAGCAUCUGAUAUGGAUGCCUACUGGGUGCCUCCCUGUGGAGGUUUUACAGGCACCAACAGCUGGGAGGAGACCCCUGGGAAGACCCAGAGCUUGCUAAGAGAAUUAUAUCUCACAGAUGGCCUGGGAUGUCUUUGGAUCCCACAAUAUGAGUUGGCAAGGGUGGCCAGGAGAAGUGGACAUUGGGGCCUCACUGGUAAGACUUGUCCCCAUGACCUGGGUUUGGAUAAAUGGUGGAAAAUUAAAGAAAUGAAUGAAUGAAUAUUUGCUGAAAAAUAGCUAAAGAUAUAAUUGGGACACAUUUAGGUAAAUUAGUCUGAAUACUAACAAAACAUCUAUGCAAUUUAGACCUAUUUGUGACAGUAAUCGAUUCAGCAUGUAGUUUGCUAUGUCCCAUUGUAAAAAUAAAUUCUGGAUUAAAUUAAAAGCUUACAUUAAAAAAGGAAUGUACCAGUAGGUGGAUAUUGGCUUUGCAGAGGUGUAUAAAACCCCACUAAAAACAAUAAAAACAUUUUGUUUAUAAAUAACUUAAGUAAUAUAUUGGCCCAUUUAUAUACCACAGUUCAAAUUCAAACAAAAACACGGUCAGGUUACAGUUAAAUAUCAUUUAUGAAAAAUGUUUACAUGAUGUAAAUAAGGAUAAAUUCCACAUCAUGUUCAUAUUUUACAUUCUGUAUCUGCCACUGAUACACCUCUACAUUCAUUUUAAAAAUGUUCAAAAAGGAUUUUACUAAAAAACUUAUUUUGAGUGUAUACAGUAUGUGCUGUUAUCUAUUUGUUAAUGUUAAAAAGGAAAAAUAAAAACAAACAAAACAACACUUUCCAUUUCUGUUCAGCCACACUGAAUUAAAUGAAAUGAGUUCCGCAUCACUGCCAUCCCAGUUUGCCCCAAUAACGAGGAAGGUUCAUCUGUAACUCCAAAAGUUGAUCUUCCACAGUCCGUACAAAGAGAAGGAGAAGAGUAGCUGAACAUUUUUUCCACUUCAAAAAAGAAAAGGAGCUGAAAACUUUUCCCAAUACAGAACAAUGGCUCAACAGAAUCAGCCACAUAUCUCCAUAUAUAUGCUGAGAAUAUAAACCCAAUAUUGAUUAAAUAUCAAAAUGAUUCCAAGUGCCCUCUUUGCAAAAAGCUGGGAGACUACAGCAUCCUUCUGCAUCACCUUCAGAGCCAUGAACCCAAUGUCGUAAAAUAUGCAGGUGUUUACGCCAGUAGUGUAUGCAUGUGUGUUUUAUUUUAUAAAAUCACACUAGGCUACUUUACUUGCAAAUAAUACUGAUUGUUAUAUUUUUUUAAUUAGAACUUUUGUCAAGUUUUACUAUCUGUAGAUGCAGCACAGAGUAUGUCACAAGUGGCCAGUUCCAAUGUUGGCUUUGUUAAAUCUUCAUUGUCAACAGUUUAGUGUAGUUAAUGUUUUUCUUUGAUUGAUUUAUUUUUUUACUCCUUGUAUUAAGGCAUUCCAAGUCUGAUGAAUAACCAUGACUGUGGAAUUUUCAUGUUGAUGCAGUUUUGGAGGGAGAAUUAUAGUUGGUCGUGGUUUCCCAUGAUUGUCACCAUCUACAAUGAGUGUUGGAAUGACAUGCUGGCUUUGAAGAAGUGCUGGUGUAUAAUGUCGCUUGUGAACUGCAACAUCAAGAGGCAUUUCCUUUGUUACUUUCAUUGGAGAAAGACAACAUAGAGGAGACCCUUCAGAAAAUUUGAUUUGCUCCCUGAAUUUCCAGAUGAAGAGGAAAGAGAAUACAUCUUUAGUCCCUUCAUCUUCCCUUUUUUUCAAAAUAUGGAAGACAUGCAUCAGUUUUUAGAUAAGCGUUCUUGCUUUCACCACACCACCCGUCGAAAAGCUGGCAUUAAAAGGUGAUGGACUUCAGUUUUCAUUAUUUUUUUUUCUGCCUCCAUUUCGUUUAUACACUGCUUUUUUGUUUUC
Molecule: long non-coding RNA, 2000 nt
Organism: Polypterus senegalus (gray bichir)
Lineage: Eukaryota; Metazoa; Chordata; Cladistia; Polypteriformes; Polypteridae
Exons: 6
Source: RefSeq, a predicted model, not a curated record